Molecule: ribosomal RNA, 1120 nt
Filed under: Campylobacter concisus
Lineage: Bacteria; Pseudomonadati; Campylobacterota; Epsilonproteobacteria; Campylobacterales; Campylobacteraceae
Description: bacterial LSU rRNA
Rfam family: Bacterial large subunit ribosomal RNA
Source: RNAcentral
GUGCGUAAUAGCUCACUGGUCAAGUGGUAGAGCGCCGAAAAUGAACGGGGCUAAAAUCUAAUACCGAAGCUGUGGACUAAUUAAAUUAGUGGUAGAGGAGCAUUGUGUAAGGGGUGAAGCUAAGUUGGAAGACGAAGUGGACUUUACAGAAGAGAGAAUGCUGGCAUGAGUAGCGAAAAGGAGGGUGAGAAUCCCUCCCGUCGAAAGCCUAAGGAUUCCUGAGGAAGGCUCGUCCUCUCAGGGUAAGUCGGGACCUAAGCCCAGGCUGAAAAGCGUAAGCGAUGGACAACAGGUUGAGAUUCCUGUACUAUCUUUGAAUGUUUAAGAGAAGUACUGACGCAGGAGGAUAUGUUGAGCGUGUGAAUGGUAGAGCACGUCUAAGCAAGUAGGUAGAGAAUAGAGGCAAAUCCCUAUUCUUAAUAUCGAGAUGUGAUGGGGAGCGAAAAACAAGUAGUGAAGCAACAAAUUCCAAACUGCCAAGAAAAGGUACUAUUGAGUGAGAAGAUACCCGUACCAAAACCGACACAGGUAGGCAAGGAGAGAAUCCUAAGACGCGCGGAAGAACCUUUGUUAAGGAACUCGGCAAAAUGACCCCGUAACUUCGGGAGAAGGGGUACCAUUAGAUGUGAAGAGCAUACGCUCGGAGCAUAGAGUGGUCGCAGAGAAUAGGCCCAAGCAACUGUUUACCAAAAACACAAGUCUCUGCUAAAUCGAAAGAUGAAGUAUAGGGGCUGACACCUGCCCGGUGCUGGAAGGUUAAGGGGAAAUGUUAGAGCAAUCGAAGCAUAGAACUUAAGCCCCAGUAAACGGCGGCCGUAACUAUAACGGUCCUAAGGUAGCGAAAUUCCUUGUCGGGUAAGUUCCGACCCGCACGAAAGGUGUAAUGAUUUGGGCACUGUCUCAACAAAGGAUCCGGUGAAAUUGUAGUAGUCGUGAAGAUGCGACUUACCCACGAUAGGACGGAAAGACCCCGUGGAGCUUUACUGUAGGCUGGCAUUGGAAUUUGGUAUUAAAUGUACAGGAUAGGUGGGAGACUGAGAAACGAGAGCGCCAGUUUUCGUGGAAUCAAUGUUGGGAUACCACGCUUUUGAUACUAAAUUUCUAACUUGAUACUCUGAAU